AAAAAAAGCCGGAAUAGCUCAGU
This 23-nucleotide transfer RNA is filed under the name Amblystegium serpens. RNAcentral describes it as "partial tRNA-Phe". Lineage: Eukaryota; Viridiplantae; Streptophyta; Bryopsida; Hypnales; Amblystegiaceae. The record is from RNAcentral.